RNAcentral lists this ribosomal RNA (333 nucleotides) under uncultured gamma proteobacterium 400m-ATT-8. Its description in RNAcentral is "partial 16S ribosomal RNA". The record is from RNAcentral. Lineage: Bacteria; Pseudomonadati; Pseudomonadota; Gammaproteobacteria.
GGUUACCUUAUUACGACUUCACCCCAGUCAUGAAACACAAAGUGGUAAUCGUCCUCCCGAACGUUAGACUAACUACUUCUUUUGCAUCCCACUCCCAUGGUGUGACGGGCGGUGUGUACAAGGCCCGGGAACGUAUUCACCGCAGUAUUCUGACCUGCGAUUACUAGCGAUUCCGACUUCAUGGAAGUCGAGUUGCAGACUCCAAUCCGGACUACGACAUCCUUUAAGGGGUCCGCUCCACAUCACUGUCUCGCUUCCCUCUGUAAAUGCCAUUGUAGCACGUGUGUAGCCCUACACGUAAGGGCCAUGAUGACUUGACGUCGUCCCCACCUU